This 407-nucleotide ribosomal RNA is filed under the name uncultured prokaryote. RNAcentral describes it as "bacterial SSU rRNA". It matches the Rfam family "Bacterial small subunit ribosomal RNA", at positions 355 to 776 of the family's 1533-position model. The record is from RNAcentral. RNAcentral also lists the same sequence under 1 other name.
UGGGGAAUAUUGGGCAAUGGGGGAAACCCUGACCCAGCAACGCCGCGUGAAGGAAGAAGGCUUUCGGGUUGUAAACUUCUUUGACGAGGGACGAAACAAAUGACGGUACCUCGAAAACAAGCCACGGCUAACUACGUGCCAGCAGCCGCGGUAAUACGUAGGUGGCAAGCGUUGUCCGGAUUUACUGGGUGUAAAGGGCGCGUAGGCGGGACUGCAAGUCAGAUGUGAAAUGCUGAGGCUUAACCUCAGAGCUGCAUUUGAAACUGUGGUUCUUGAGUGAUGGAGAGGCAGGCGGAAUUCCAAGUGUAGCGGUGAAAUGCGUAGAUAUUUGGAGGAACACCAGUGGCGAAGGCGGCCUGCUGGACAUUAACUGACGCUGAGGCGCGAAAGCGUGGGGAGCAAACAGG